GUGCUCACUUCGGUAGCACAUACACUAAAAUUGAAACGAUACAGAGAUUAGUUUGGCCCCUGCGCAAGUAUGACACACAAAUUUGUGAAGCGUUUCAUAUUUUU
Small nuclear RNA from Loxodonta africana (African savanna elephant), 104 nucleotides. Lineage: Eukaryota; Metazoa; Chordata; Mammalia; Proboscidea; Elephantidae. The record is from Ensembl.